This 253-nucleotide ribosomal RNA is filed under the name uncultured bacterium. Its description in RNAcentral is "partial 16S ribosomal RNA". It matches the Rfam family "Bacterial small subunit ribosomal RNA", at positions 524 to 776 of the family's 1533-position model. The record is from RNAcentral.
UACGGAGGGGGCUAGCGUUGUUCGGAAUUACUGGGCGUAAAGCGCACGUAGGCGGGUUCUUAAGUCAGGGGUGAAAUCCCGGAGCUCAACUCCGGAACUGCCUUUGAUACUGGGAAUCUUCAGUCCGGGAGAGGUGAGUGGAACUCCGAGUGUAGAGGUGAAAUUCGUAGAUAUUCGGAAGAACACCAGUGGCGAAGGCGGCUCACUGGCCCGGUACUGACGCUGAGGUGCGAAAGCGUGGGGAGCAAACAGG